This 714-nucleotide ribosomal RNA is filed under the name uncultured Fusobacteriota bacterium. RNAcentral's name for it is "bacterial SSU rRNA". It matches the Rfam family "Bacterial small subunit ribosomal RNA", at positions 38 to 776 of the family's 1533-position model. The record is from RNAcentral. Lineage: Bacteria; Fusobacteriati; Fusobacteriota.
GACAGAAUGCUUAACACAUGCAAGUCGACUCGAGUCUUCGGACUUGGGUGGCGCACGGGUGAGUAACGCGUAAAGAACUUGCCUCUUAGACCGGGACAACAUCUGGAAACGGAUGCUAAUACCGGAUAUUAUGGUUUUUUCGCAUGGAGGAAUCAUGAAAGCUAGAUGCGCUAAGAGAGAGCUUUGCGUCCCAUUAGCUGGUUGGUGAGGUAACGGCCCACCAAGGCAAUGAUGGGUAGCCGGCCUGAGAGGGUGAACGGCCACAAGGGGACUGAGACACGGCCCUUACUCCUACGGGAGGCAGCAGUGGGGAAUAUUGGACAAUGGACCGCAAGUCUGAUCCAGCAAUUCUGUGUGCACGAUGACGUUUUUCGGAGUGUAAAGUGCUUUCAGUCGGGAAGAAGUCAGUGACGGUACCGACAGAAGAAGCGACGGCUAAAUACGUGCCAGCAGCCGCGGUAAUACGUAUGUCGCAAGCGUUAUCCGGAUUUAUUGGGCGUAAAGCGCGUCUAGGCGGCAAGGAAAGUCUGAUGUGAAAAUGCGGAGCUCAACUCCGUAUGGCGUUGGAAACUGCCUUACUAGAGUACUGGAGAGGUAGGCGGAACUACAAGUGUAGAGGUGAAAUUCGUAGAUAUUUGUAGGAAUGCCGAUGGGGAAGCCAGCCUACUGGACAGAUACUGACGCUAAAGCGCGAAAGCGUGGGUAGCAAACAGG